Molecule: ribosomal RNA, 437 nt
Rfam family: Bacterial small subunit ribosomal RNA
ACGGGAGGCAGCAGUGGGGAAUAUUGGGCAAUGGGCGAAAGCCUGACCCUGCGACGCCGCGUGAGGGAAGAAGGUCUUCGGAUUGUAAACCUUUGUAAGCAGGGAAGAAGGAAGUGACGGUACCUGAUGAAUAAGCCACGGCUAACUACGUGCCAGCAGCCGCGAUAAUACGUAGGUGGCAAGCGUUAUCCGGAUUUACUGGGUGUAAAGGGCGCGUAGGCGGGGAUGCAAGUCAGGUGUGAAAUCUAUGGGCUUAACCCAUAAACUGCAUUUGAAACUGUAUCUCUUGAGUGUCGGAGAGGUAGACGGAAUUCCUAGUGUAGCGGUGAAAUGCGUAGAUAUUAGGAGGAACACCAGUGGCGAAGGCGGUCUACUGGACGAUAACUGACGCUGAGGCGCGAAAGCGUGGGGAGCAAACAGGAUUAGAUACCCUGGUA